UAAGUUUUUACAUUUAGUUUAUUUAAAAAAUAAGUUAUGUUUAUUUGUAGUAAAAAGUAUUAGAAAAUUUUUAAUUAAGGAUUUAUAAAUUUAUAAGAGUAUAAACAAAAAUUGUGCCAGCAGUUGCGGUUAUACAAUUUAUACAAUUUUUUUGUUUUAAUUUUUAAUUAAUAGAAUUAAUUUUUAUAGGUUAAAAUAUUAGGUGAAAUUUUAUUUUAUUAUUAAUUGAGUUAAUGUUUAUGAAGUUAAGAUAUUUUGGAAAUAAACUGGGAUUAGAUACCCCAUUAUUCAAAAGGUAAAUUUUAAUUGUUGGAUGAUUAAUAGAUAAAUCUAAAAAAUCAAUUAAUUUGGCGGUUUUUUAUUCUAAUCAGGGGAACCUGUUCUGUAAUCGAUAAUCCACGAUUAAUUAUACUUUAAAUAUGCUUGUAUAUCGCCGUUAAAAAUUAUUUUUUAAAAAUUAUGAUUUAAAAAUAUUAUUUGAUUUAAAAUCAGGUCAAGGUGCAGCUUUUUAAAGUUUGAAAUGGGUUACAAUAAAUUUAUUUUGGGAUAAUUUUAGUAUUUAAUUUUUAAACUUGGAUUUGAAAGUAAAUUUAGUUUUUUACUAUUUUGAACUUGGCUCUAAAAUAUGUACAUAUCGCCCGUCACUUCCAUCAAAAGAUGGAAUAAGUCGUAACAUAGUAGAUUUACCGGAAGGUAAAUCUAGAAAGACAGGU
Molecule: non-coding RNA, 713 nt
Filed under: Chrysochus chinensis
Lineage: Eukaryota; Metazoa; Arthropoda; Insecta; Coleoptera; Chrysomelidae
Source: RNAcentral